Molecule: microRNA precursor, 52 nt
Filed under: Chlorocebus sabaeus (green monkey)
Lineage: Eukaryota; Metazoa; Chordata; Mammalia; Primates; Cercopithecidae
Description: mir-1302 microRNA precursor family
Rfam family: mir-1302 microRNA precursor family
Source: Rfam by way of RNAcentral
GAUUUAGUACAAGUAUGUCCCAUGCAGUAUUGGGGAUGUAUUUGUACUAAAA